UUUACGGAGAGUUUGAUCCUGGCUCAGGACGAACGCUGGCGGCGUGCCUAACACAUGCAAGUGGAGCGACGAACCAGGGCUUGCCCUGGAGCAAAGCCGCGAACGGGUGAGUAACACGUGGGUAACCUGCCCCGAUGACCGGGACAACCCGAGGAAACUCGGGCUAAUACCGGAUGUGAUGUCCACACAUGAGUGUGUCCAUCAAAGGAAGCUUCGGCCUCCACAUUGGGAUGGGCCCGCGGCCCAUUAGCUUGUUGGUGGGGUAAUGGCCUACCAAGGCAACGAUGGGUAGCUGGUCUGAGAGGACGAUCAGCCACACUGGGACUGAGACACGGCCCAGACUCCUACGGGAGGCAGCAGUGGGGAAUCUUGCGCAAUGCGCGAAAGCGUGACGCAGCA
RNAcentral lists this ribosomal RNA (399 nucleotides) under Actinomycetota bacterium. Its description in RNAcentral is "bacterial SSU rRNA". It matches the Rfam family "Bacterial small subunit ribosomal RNA", at positions 1 to 393 of the family's 1533-position model. Lineage: Bacteria; Bacillati; Actinomycetota. The record is from RNAcentral.